GUUUUCCUCCUUUCCCAUCCCCAGCAGUUGUCUCUGUAGGAGUGGAGGGACUUUCUUUUUUUGUGGUUGUAUUUGGAGAGAAAGAGCUUUGGAGAUUUUUUUUUUUUCUGGAGCACAUAGAUGGGACAAGAGGGGAGACCCCUGCCUGGCCUGAAGAAUUGGAUUUUGGCCCUGAUGAAAGAGGAAAUGGGGCAGAGACUGCCUGAAUGGAGUUAAGAAAAUGCCUGGGGAGACUCUGAGCUCAAGGAGGCCCAUGUUGGGAUCCAGGGCCAACACAGCAUCAGAUGCAUCGAACUCACAGAACAUCGCUCCCCAGCUGCUGGCUCGCGGUUCUGAGAGUGCCUGAAUAGAAAACCACUCAUUUCCCUUCGCAAAAGAGGCGCCCAAAGCAGAUAUUUCAAUAUAUUCCAAUUUAGCCGAGGGAAGCCAGAACAUGGAUGUUGUUGCCAAGGAAACCACCUCCUUCCUCCUGUGUGCUGUGCAUACGUGUAUCACUUCAUCUCUCUGCUCUCCAAGCUUGAAUCUAGAUCUGACGUGGAUAUCCUGCCACAGUUCCGAAGUCUACCUAGUGCCCCAGCCGAACCUGCCCUGGCUCCUAGGUGGGGUAUGGACAUCUGUGACAUCCCUCCCCAACACCCCACCAAGCUGGGCUGCAAGACGGGUUAUGGUGGCCCCAUGACUUCCUUCCUUGAUCAAAACCUAAAAAGGUGGGAAUGAAAGAAGCUCCUAACCCUCCUGGCUUUUUUCCCAAAGCCAGGAGGCAGCUCCUGAAUGGUGGAUUUUGGACUACUGGUGAGGCUGUCAGCAAAGGGCCUGGCCCAGAGAGAUGCUCAAGAGUAGGAUGAAAAGACCGUGGGCUUCUUCCUCUGCAAAAGGAAAGGUUUGGGACUGAUGGAUGCUGAAAAGUCUAGAUCUUCAUAAUCCUCAACAGCUUCACUGCCACUGCACACACAAAAUGAGUGUGCCCUAUAUUUCCAGCCCUCUGAUGAAUACGAAAAGAGCCUGAAGAACUCAUCUUCCUGGUCGCAAAGUACUUUAAAAUAUAUAAUCCCUCAAUCUUAAACAUACACAUUUUAUUGCUUUUUAUUAUACAAUAAUACAUAUUUACUAUUGAAAAUACAGAUAAGAAAAAAGAAAAUGGUUCAUAAUAAUACUACCCAGGUUUAAAAAAUACUAUUCAGCCUUAUGUUGAAGAAUCUGACUCUUUUCCUAUGCAAGCAUGUAUUUCAAGCAAAACUGGACACUUCAUGUGUACCUUGUUUUGUGAUCUUUUUUUCCCAAAUUAAUAUAUAAUCAAUAUCUUUUUGUAUCAAUCUUCAAUCCUUUCUUCUGUCACUUAUUUUUAAUGGUUAACAGUCAUCUACUAUAUAGAUAUUCUGUAAUUUAUUAAAGUGAUCCCUCAU
RNAcentral lists this long non-coding RNA (1403 nucleotides) under Homo sapiens (human). Its description in RNAcentral is "HSALNT0164885". The record is from RNAcentral. Lineage: Eukaryota; Metazoa; Chordata; Mammalia; Primates; Hominidae.